GACGAACGCUGGCGGCGUGCCUAAUACAUGCAAGUCGAACGCUUCUUUCCUCCCGAGUGCUUGCCCUCAAUUGGAAAGAGGAGUGGCGGACGGGUGAGUAACACGUGGGUAACCUACCCAUCAGAGGGGGAUAACACUUGGAAACAGGGGCUAAUACCGCAUAACAGUUUAUGCCGCAUGGCAUAAGAGUGAAAGGGGCUUUCGGGGGUCGCUGGUGGAUGGAACCGCGGUGCAUUAGCUAGUUGGUGAGGUAACGGCUCACCAAGGCCACGAUGCAUAGCCGACCUGAGAGGGUGAUCGGCCACACUGGGACUGAGACACGGCCCAGACUCCUACGGGAGGCAGCAGUAGGGAAUCUUCGGCAAUGGACGAAAGUCUGACCGAGCAACGCCGCGUGAGUGAAGAAGGUUUUCGGAUCGUAAAACUCUGUUGUUAGAGAAGAACAAGGACGUUAGUAACUGAACGUCCCCUGACGGUAUCUAACCAGAAAGCCACGGCUAACUACGUG
This 508-nucleotide ribosomal RNA is filed under the name uncultured bacterium. RNAcentral describes it as "partial 16S ribosomal RNA". It matches the Rfam family "Bacterial small subunit ribosomal RNA", at positions 28 to 507 of the family's 1533-position model. The record is from RNAcentral.